This 68-nucleotide transfer RNA is filed under the name bovine gut metagenome. It matches the Rfam family "tRNA". Rfam says of the family: Transfer RNA (tRNA) molecules are approximately 80 nucleotides in length. Their secondary structure includes four short double-helical elements and three loops (D, anti-codon, and T loops). The record is from RNAcentral.
CAGAUGUAGUUUAGCGGCAAAACAGCGGCUUCCCAAGCCGCGGUUGUGGGUUCGACUCCCAUCAUCUG